UGCCAGAAAUCCAUGUUUUUCCCCUUCAAUAUGGGGUUUUCCCCAUUAAAUAUGGCUUUUUCCCCUAGAAAUCCCUGUUUUUCCCCUUAAAUAUGGGGUUUUCCCCAUUAAAUAUGGCUUUUUCCCCUAGAAAUCCCUGUUUUUCCCCUUAAAUAUGGGGUUUUCCCCAUUAAAUAUGGCUUUUUCCCCUAGAAAUCCCUGUUUUUCACCUUAAAUAUGGCUUUUCCUCCUAGAAAUCCCUGUUUUUCCCAUUAAAUCUGGGGUUUUCUCACAGAAAUCGCUGUUAUUCCCAUUAAAACUGGGGUUUUUCCCCUUAAAUAUGGCUUUUUCUGACAGAAAUCCCUGGC
Long non-coding RNA from Tympanuchus pallidicinctus (lesser prairie-chicken), 347 nucleotides. RefSeq lists it as uncharacterized. The transcript is spliced from 3 exons. The record is from RefSeq and is a predicted model, not a curated record. NCBI's taxonomy places the organism in Eukaryota, Metazoa, Chordata, Aves, Galliformes, Phasianidae.